UGACCUAUAUUUCAAAGAGAAUAGGGGUUUUGUAGUCCUCAGGUGGCGUUGCCUGGGUCAU
Molecule: transfer RNA, 61 nt
Filed under: Raeta sp.
Lineage: Eukaryota; Metazoa; Mollusca; Bivalvia; Venerida; Anatinellidae
Description: tRNA-Thr
Source: RNAcentral